RNAcentral lists this long non-coding RNA (1147 nucleotides) under Cyanistes caeruleus (blue tit). Its description in RNAcentral is "lncRNA (ENSCCEG00000011944.1)". The record is from RNAcentral. Lineage: Eukaryota; Metazoa; Chordata; Aves; Passeriformes; Paridae.
AUGUUUUUUGAGGUGAUAAAAGAAGGACCAACCUUCUCCUUCUUUAACCAGGCUGAGAAUGCCACAGACUUCUGUGUGGGUGCACUGAAGAACCAUGCCAUGCCUUCAGUGAACUUACAUCUGGACAAACUUCUUUGUUCCAUUUGAUGAAAUCAUUCAUUUCAUCCUGGGUAAAGUACUGUUGGGAUAUUCUUGCUUUAAAGGAAGACAGAAUAUACCCGGUUUCCUUGAGGUAUGGUAAAAUGUUAAUUUUGCAUUGAAAUCUUCAUCAAACAGGAGAUUUGGUUGUUUGCUUUAUUGGAUUUCUUUUUUAGUUAGAAAACUAUGGUUUUGUUAAGAGAUAUAGAAGUGGAUAUUUGCAAAAUUCUUACCUAAUUCACAAAGUAAAAAUAAUGACAAUUUGCAUGCCAUGUAACCGAAAAAUGUGUAUAUAAUUACUUCUUUUAAAAGCUGACAUGGUAAUUCCUGAUUAGUAUGGAAUCUUGUGGAAUUAGUUUUGGUUAUUAAUCAAGUUAAGUUUUGCUCUCUCAAUCAUGAUCUUGAACUAAGCUUGGAACUGUCUGACUGACCAGCAUAUGCUGGCUAAAAUCCUUCCUCAGGAGCAGAAAGGUUAAGAGGACAGAUGAAGCAAAGGCAAAUGGUAUCUUCUUACUACUCCUUGGAGAUCUCACUACUAAAGAUCUCCCACACCUACUAUGUAAUGAAAUAUCUGCUAAUGUCCAUAUAGCCUCUGUGGCAUUUAGCACUCUUGAUUUUAUGUUGUCUGGUUUUGAAACCUUAUAAAGUGCAAUGUUCUGUAACCUUUCAAAAACAUUCAUAGGUGUGAUGUCAAUGUUUCCCAAGUACUCAGCUGUCGUUAUUGUAAGCCAGACUUUUGUUUACAAAAGCCCAGGCUUGCAAUUCACUGCCUUGCGGGGGUGAAAAAAAAAGGGAGAAAGAAGUAAUAUUUUGCUUCUUAACACUUUCUCUAUUUUCUCUUUAAAGUUCCAUUCAGCUUUGAAAAGUGAAAUGACCUUUUUAAUGUACAUUUAUUUAAAAUUCUUUGAUGCAUUCCAAACCUUUGCUGUUAUUUAUCUUCACAUUUUAACCUGUGCUAUCUUUUUUUGUUUUUUCCAUUGGCCAUCGUAGUUACACACAAAAAAAAUCC